ACGCUGGCGGCAUGCCUAACACAUGCAAGUCGAACGAGACCUUCGGGUCUAGUGGCGCACGGGUGCGUAACGCGUGGGAAUCUGCCCUUUGCUUCGGAAUAACAGUUAGAAAUGACUGCUAAUACCGGAUGAUGUCUUCGGACCAAAGAUUUAUCGGCAAAGGAUGAGCCCGCGUAGGAUUAGGUAGUUGGUGGGGUAAAGGCCUACCAAGCCGACGAUCCUUAGCUGGUCUGAGAGGAUGAUCAGCCACACUGGGACUGAGACACGGCCCAGACUCCUACGGGAGGCAGCAGUGGGGAAUAUUGGACAAUGAGCGAAAGCCUGAUCCAGCAAUGCCGCGUGAGUGAUGAAGGCCUUCGGGUCGUAAAGCUCUUUUACCAGGGAUGAUAAUGACAGUACCUGGAGAAUAAGCUCCGGCUAACUCCGUG
RNAcentral lists this ribosomal RNA (428 nucleotides) under uncultured bacterium. RNAcentral's name for it is "bacterial SSU rRNA". It matches the Rfam family "Bacterial small subunit ribosomal RNA", at positions 33 to 507 of the family's 1533-position model. The record is from RNAcentral.